Molecule: long non-coding RNA, 1125 nt
Filed under: Homo sapiens (human)
Lineage: Eukaryota; Metazoa; Chordata; Mammalia; Primates; Hominidae
Description: non-protein coding lnc-ERGIC1-2:2
Source: RNAcentral
UUUAUUAUACAAAUAGGCAGUAUACACAGUGAGCGCCCACUAAGCGCUGGGCUGGGGGCCUCCAACCCGGAACAGAAGCCGGCCACAACCCUCGCUCCCUGUCGUCGCGGCCGUUAUAGGCCGAAAGCAAAAUCCAAUCCCGGGCCAUUGUGGGCGGAUUGCCAGGACCUGGAUCGCAACACUUGGGAAGACCCCCGCCCCGCCCAGCGAUCUCCGUGCCCUGAGUCCCAGUGACGGCCCCCUGGACAGCGGAGCCUGCUGCAGCGACGCGACGCGCUGGAUCUCAAAGCAAGGCUUGUUGGACAAAUAAAUGAAGAUGAGCCCAAGAGCCCAGGAGAGGGACCGGGAACAGCAGGGCCUCCGUGACUCACACAAGCUUCAUCCCUGAACCAAGGACGCAGCCUGCCAACAAUGGCCCCAAGCCACACCCCGCCACAGGGGGAACUGAUGCUGCGGUGAGAAGUGACAGCUUUCUGUUGACUCUUUUUUUUUUCAAGCAGAAUAUGAAUUGAGACAUACUUUCAUUUUCAUAAUCAGAACCUAACACUUAGUAACCAAUGUUGGUGGAAGCAAAUGAGAUCACAGUUUGUCUGUUCCAAACUCAUCUCUGGGAAAAGGAGGAGGAAAAAUUAUUGGCACUAUGUUCAGAAUCAUAGCUGAAGAUGCAGAAAUUGUUCAUCCCAAUUUUGCCUUUGUAAGUAAUGUGGGGGCAGUUCUUAUUAGUAAUUGCCAAUCUCUACUGAGACACAGUAUUUUGCUAGGCGCUUUAUAUUCAUUUCCUGGUAUGAUCAUGACAUUAACCCUGUGAAAUGCGUACCCUUACUAUCUCCAUGUGAAGAAAUGAGGGAACUGAGGACCAGAGAGGUGAACUGACUUGUCCAAAGACACACAGUAAGGGCUGUGACUCUCCGCUUUCUAAGAUUUUUGUUCUUAUCGCUCCACAGCACAUAGCAGGCGUAGUAUGAAGGCAGCAUGCUGCACAAUUUCGCUGUUUGUUUCUUGGAAUAAUAAUUUAUAGGGGACUGCUUCUAGAUUCCAAAGGAAAGAGAAAGGAAAUAUGCCCCAAACUCAGGCUUUCAGCCUGGCCCUGCCUGACUCACUGAGCUGCAUUGGACAAAUGAUUCA